Molecule: long non-coding RNA, 1415 nt
Filed under: Homo sapiens (human)
Lineage: Eukaryota; Metazoa; Chordata; Mammalia; Primates; Hominidae
Description: non-protein coding lnc-LSM14B-6:1
Source: RNAcentral
GCUGACUGUCCCCGCACCCAGCUGCCUUGGAGACAGGAGUGUCGUAUAAGCCCGUAGGUAAGAGCACGGUGCUUGCCAGGCGCCAAACGAAGUUCCCGAGCCUGAAGCCGGCACGUCUGGAAGUAGCUUUUUUUACCUUCUGCUGGGGGAGGGGAGUAAGUUACCUAAAGUGUUCCCAAGCACCUUCUCUCUAGAAAUACUUCAGUAAAAGUUCCAGUCCCCUCUUUCUGCGUGUUUUAUUUUCCAACCAAAAGAUGGUGUUAUUGGACAUUUCUAGUGGUUUUCCUUUCUCUCAUUUCUUCCUAAGAGCCCAGAAUAGGUUUCAGAGAGACGCUUCCUUGCCUCGGACCUCACUGGGGCCAAGAGGCCACAGGGUCAGUCUUCGCAGCUGAAGACAGCGCCGCAAUAAGCAGAGACCUCGGGACGAUGAAUGACGUUGCUGACAAAGAAAAUGAUUUUUUUAAUUGCUUUAACAAAGGAGACUGCUAGUCUCGAAAGCAGACCCGAACUGGACCCUUGUGCCUGUUCGAACUGUAGCCUUGCAAAGGAAUGGACUUACUGAUAACUGGAAUACGGGACUUCACCCCAGGCUUGUUUCUCGACAGCAGCAGCAGCCAAUGAGCAUUGAGGACGGAGCCUAGGAGAGGUGCCUCCCCUAUAGGGGAACAGUGUUUGGGGGAAAUCACUGCAAACGUACAGCUGGAGUUUUGUACCUGAACUUUGGCUCCCAGAAGGCAGGAAAGGAAAUGAAUGAAGCAAGCUGAGUAUGGCGGGGAGGGCCCCUGUGGGUACACCUACGGAGCACCUUGAGCUCAGUAGGGGGACAGUCUGAGUUUUCCAGAAAGAACAGAAAUAUAAAGUGAUGAUUAAAUCUCGGGAUUUUUAAUUUUUGAGUGUUGACAACUAAUUAGAACAUUUUUAAAGCAGGUCAAAGCACAGGCAGGCUAACUGGCCCCACGCACAACUUGCAAGGUGGGGCGCACCAGGCUCACUGCACAGCCCAUACCCACAGACCCCUCAGAUUGGAGUCGGGGCAGAAGCAGAACGCAGGACUCGCAGGAAACAGACCAGGUUCCAAGGCCCCCAGGGUCCCAAAGGCUGGGGUAACUGAAGGUUCCCACGCUCAGGCCUCCACUCUUCAAGUCCGCUGCUACUCCACUGAGAUCUGUAAUGAGUCUCCUGCCAUCUACGCACAGUGGUGACUCCUCUUCUCCAAGGCCCCGCCAGGAGUCUUUCAUUCCAACGUGUUCGCAGGAUCUUCUGGGGAACCGUCCAGCCUGGCAGCUGCAGGAACUGCGAGAAGUUAAGGGUCUGUGCCCACCUAUUCCAGCUUCCCUUGCAAGGAGGGUGUUGGGCACCAGAAGGCCCUGGGGAAAGUGGGAGCCGCAGACAGCCAGGCAGCUCUUCUAUGUCUG